GGGGCUUAUGUUAGUCAGAAUUGACUAUUCUUCAUUUGCAUUGAAGAGAGGCGAAUAAACGCUAGCCUUA
This 70-nucleotide transfer RNA is filed under the name Pediculus schaeffi. RNAcentral's name for it is "tRNA-Ala". Lineage: Eukaryota; Metazoa; Arthropoda; Insecta; Psocodea; Pediculidae. The record is from RNAcentral.